GUGCAGUGCAGAACAGCCAGCUGAACAGGUGGCAGAGUUGAAGAUGUGCUCAGCAGCUUAAGCAAGUCACACACUGGAAUGCAAGGCUACUGCAGGGUACUUACAGAGCAACGGAGAAUUUGCAGCCUUUUCUGAUGUGAUUCGUUCCUAUCUGUGAGGACAGCACAGUGAUCUCAAACAUUGGAUGGUGUGUUCCUUAGUUUCCGAUGGAGAAGGACAUCGGAGACACCAUCUUCCAGAUCACUGCAUUUUACUGAUCAAAUCCCAAUGCAAGUUGAUGCUGAGAUGAUCAACAUCAGAUGGGUCCUCCACCUGAACCAACAUUUCAACUAUAUUCAUACAGUCAACCAUGUCAAAAAACAUACACAUCAACAAAUCACCUCUGUGUACACUUCUUAGCCCAUGGCAAAUCCUGCAAAGAUUAAACACCACUUCUUUGCAACCAGGUUUUCAAAUCGGUCAACAUCAAACAUGCAGUAAUUGAUAUUCCCCUUAAAUAGCUUCAUUGUGGGGGCCUUUCUGUUGCUAAAUGCUGGGUUAUUUGAAUUAAUUGUGUGACAUUGGCAGAAUUGUUGGAGUUUAUUUCUGCAUCAUCACCAUCUGUCUGCUGUGUGAACCCUUGGACUGUGGCAACAUCACAGGGCUACUGACCAUUUGUCUGAGAAACAAUGUCACAAAUGUAGAAUCUAAAGAAAGAAACCAUUCAGUCAGUCCUGAAAAGUUUGAAUGUCAUCUCUCAAACCAUGUCCUUACAGGUGAUUUGAUUUUGUUUUGUAGCCCGUUGUUCAGAA
Molecule: long non-coding RNA, 791 nt
Organism: Pristis pectinata (smalltooth sawfish)
Lineage: Eukaryota; Metazoa; Chordata; Chondrichthyes; Rhinopristiformes; Pristidae
Exons: 3
Source: RefSeq, a predicted model, not a curated record